AGCGUCAAGCUAGUAAGAUCCCUGAAAGAUGAUCAGGUUGAUAGGUCAGAGGUGGAAGCGUGGCGACAUGUGGAGCUGACUGAUACUAAUCGAUCGAGGACUUAACCAA
Molecule: non-coding RNA, 109 nt
Filed under: Pseudomonas sp. ISL-84
Lineage: Bacteria; Pseudomonadati; Pseudomonadota; Gammaproteobacteria; Pseudomonadales; Pseudomonadaceae
Description: partial 23S ribosomal RNA
Rfam family: Bacterial large subunit ribosomal RNA
Source: RNAcentral